GCAGAUCAGCUGCCCCAAUUUGCUUGUCUAUCGUACCUGAGAAUUCGUAAUUGUCCCAAGCUAACUUGGAUGCCACUGUUUCCAGCUCUUGACGAUACUCUAUGGCUGGGGAAUGCCAGGCUAGAGCCAUUAGAGCAAACAAUGAAGGCUAAGAUGAUGACAUCACCCUCUCCUUCUUCUUCUUCAUCAAUCGUUCAGCUUCAGCCACUUUCCAAAUUGGAGAAGUUGGAGUUCUAUUCAAUGGAAGACCUUGUAUCUUUGCCAGAAGAGUGGUUGCAAAACUUCACUUCUCUUCAAGAAAUAAUCAUUGAGUCUUGCCCGAGAUUUGCAUCUAUGAGGAAAGGGAUGCAUCAUCUCACUUCCUUACGACGCUUGAAAAUUAGUGGAUGUCCCCAGCUGGAGACAUAUGCAGACCACAUGGAUAUGGAUUGGCCUAAAGGCGCUGAAAUUCGAAUUGAUGAUAAAUUGUUUCAGCGGAAGGAUUCCCUCCCAUUGGAUGACCAGAGAUAAUUCCGAAUUUAUGCUCAGGUUCACCGCCAAAAAUUUCAAGGUACUUCUGUCUUCUCUUUGACCAUAUUUUAGGGUCAUAGGUUCUGAGUUCUGACUAUAAUUUUUCCUAUCGUCCUUUUCCGGGAAAUAAAUUUUGUGUACAUUGGCAUCUCUUAAGGAAUUGACGUGAUCAUCAGCGAAUGAAGUUUCGUGGCUUCCUAUUACUUUUUCCUAGACUUUUAACUUGUCCACAUUCUGAAAUUGAAAUUUGACAAUAUUAUAGAGGACACUUCUGGGGAGGUUCUUGAUUCAAAUUGAUGUUUUUUAUAUUUAUUAUAUUUAUGUUUUUUUUUAUAUUUAUUCUGUCUAUUUUCUUUCAAAUUGUUAGAAAUUUGGCAGUUCUCCUGAGGAUUGUUGCUUGGUUCUUUGUAAUGAUGAACAUGGCUUGCAAUGACCAGGCCUUGAAGACACAUACCAGAGAUAUGCAAGCCUAUGUCAGUUCCAACACUUGAAAUGAUUACCUGUACAAGUGGUAGAAUGGAUGCUCUUGGAUGGGUCUCUGGUUCUGGUAGCUACUAUUUGCUCUUUCUUUUUGGUUGGCUUCUGCAGGAGCUUACUGGGCUGCUGGCCUGUUUAGUUUUGGAACUUUGAGUUUUGUUGUUCUGCUUAGUUUUACUUGGAUAUGUAUUCCGCAGCUUGUUUUUGAGUUUGGUCUUGGUUUUGUUUGUGUCUUCUAGAAUUUUUCACUUUGCAUACUAUGUUUUAGGUUGUAUGUCCUAGGUCGGGUGUACUGGGGAGGUUUAUCUAUCGGGGUUUAGUUGAACAUGCCCAUGCUAAGUUUUUCCUGGAUCUAUUUUAUUUAAUUAAUAAAAUCUCCUGCUUAUCAUGGAUGCAUUGGCUCACCUCAACCCAGAUCAAAAAGGCCAAUCAGGAUUAGAUGAAAUUGGCUUCAUAUUUCUUAAUGGUAAAUUUUGAAUUGAAUCCUUGCAUUAAAGAAAUAAAAGUUUAGUUUAGCACUCACGUUUUGUAAUUAUGUGCAUGCCAUAUCUGCACUUUGAGUGGUAAACAUUAAACACUGCAAUGCCAUCUGCUUCUUCUCUUUAUGAUUUAUGUUACUGUAUCUAGAGAUAAGAUUGUGUGAAGAACUUCAUUCUUUGUAUGAUGGUACCCAGACUUGAGGAAUACUUUCCAGAGUUGCUUCAACACAAUGGCUUGUUGCAUGUUCUGAAAACCUCCCAAUUGUGGCAAGUUCCUUAGCAUCCAACUUCAACAGUCAUAGGGAUAAGAUUCCUGCUUGAUUACAAUUCUGAAAACAACUCAAGAAGAGCCGGCAAUCAUAGGUUAAAUCUUGAAGAGCAGUUACAGAAAUGAAGCUGGACGAUGAGUGUUUUUCUCACUUCUAUAAAAGACAUGUAGCAGGGGGCAUGUUUCAGGGUCUAGCCACUCAAGGCCUCUGUUUUGAGAAUCCAACAACACUAUCUGGAAGUAGAACUAGAUGGUGUGGAUGGCGAAUUUUCUAUCAUGUAAAUUGUUUAGUGAGAUGGUUCAAAAACUUUUAGGUAGGAAAGAACCGCAGAUUACUUGUAGAAUACAGUCGUUCAUGGCUGUCGAAAUUGCUAGUCAACUCAUAUAAUUUUGCAAGUUAAAUUCAUAUUAACGAAUUAACGCUCAAAG
This 2163-nucleotide unclassified non-coding RNA is filed under the name Hevea brasiliensis (rubber tree). Lineage: Eukaryota; Viridiplantae; Streptophyta; Magnoliopsida; Malpighiales; Euphorbiaceae. The record is from RNAcentral.